ACGGGCCGCGCACCUGCCCCGGGCCCCGCUGCCGCCCCGGCUCGGGGCCGGCUCCAAGCUCCGGGACCUGCCCCGGGCUCACGGCCGAGCCCCUGCGCUGACACUGCGCCCGAGCGGCUGCGGCAGCGGAAACCUCCGCGCCGUUCUUCCAUGAGCGUUGUCUUUUGAAACAGUGACGUUUUCCAAGGUAGCCUUGACUGGCUCUGAAUCCAGUUUUGGGGGUGCUUUUCCUGGCGCUGUGUCACGACAAAUAAGGACAAAUUGCAACAUAACCUGGCAAAUCCAGGAAACAUCACGAGUAUGUGGUUGUCUUUAGGAGAGUGUCUCUGGAUUGUAACUGAAGGCUCCAUGGCUGUUUCAGAAACACAGGUUAUGCAUAUUUACCUGCAGAGACAUUUAACCUUUAUUUUGAAGGACUCCUGUUGCAGUUCUGGAAAACUCUCCUGAGCAAAACAAGGAAAACAUCUCUGAAACAUCCAGGGAGUAUUAGUUUGGUCAAUCUUUUGCAAUUCUAACCAAAACAUGUCAGUGUGUUGAAAGGGAAUCUAAAGGUGUGUUGAAGAAGGACAAAGGGGGAAGAUAGUUGAGUGGUUUAGCAAAAGGUGAGGUGGUAGGAGAUCUUUAUUCUGGCUGUUUGCUUAGUUCCUCCAGCACACCCUUCUGCAAACUUUUUAAUAACUUCCUUCUCCCCUGGACAUGAAGUGUAAAUGUAUUUAAAUCACGAGAGCAGUUUGGGGGUGCUGGGAGGUGCAGACACACUGAACCCAUCUGGUUUUGGACAGCCAAUUCCUGGGGCGGGGAGAGCACAGCCAGCGAGCUCUGCUCCAGCAGGGUGUUCUGGGGCAAGAGGAGGGCUGCUCCCAGCGUGUGCUGCGUGUCCCAGCUCCCGGGGCAGCUCCUGAGUGUCCUAGCUCCCAGUGUGUGCUGAGUGUCCCAGCUCCCGGGGCAGCUCCUGAGUGUCCCAGCUCCCGGGGCACAGCCCUGCCAGGAGGGUCCACACCCAGCCCAGGCUGGGCUGGGAUACCUGGCGUGCUCUUGGAUGGGUGGGUGGGCUGGACUGGCUUGGCAAGGCCUGCUGAGGCUGCUGCCAACAUUUAACAAAGGAAUCCUUUACACACAUUCUUGCCUGAUACAGCACCUUUACAGCUCUGCAGCAAGGGAAGGAAAAAAAGUCUACAUUUAAUAUGUAAAUAGAAGUAAUGAUCCAGGAAAAAGGUCACUGCAUUCAUCCCCGUGGAUCAGAUUGCUCUCAGAUAACUUUGGCUUUGUGAGUUUCCAGCACAGCCUGCUGUUCCAUUGUGUGCCUGCUCACAGGGACCAGGAAAAUGGGGAACUGGGUCACUGAGCAGCACUCAAGACACCACCGUAGUAUCGAGCUAAUCAGAUCAGGGAAUUAAUCACUGAGUUCUUCACAUCCAGCUAAAAUGCAACUGAAGAGUGAAAACAAGGAAGAAGCAGCACUGAGGGAAAAACCAAGUAUGCUGUUCACAGACACUGUAAUUAAAUUAUCUGUUUGUUACAGAACAGUUAGGUCAGCUUUGACAGAAUUAAAAACUCCCCAUCAGAAAGAAUCUCCAAGACACUGGUCAUAAAUUAAAACCAGCUGGUGAGUUAGGUGUAAAAGGCAGUUGAAAGAGAAUCUUAAAUAUUCUCAGUGAACAAAAUGAACAAAGAGACCCUCAUCUCUCAACCUUCAUCUCAGAUAUUCCUACAGUCUCUCAUAAACUUGUGAACCAAUUGUGGGUUCUUUUCAUUAAGCACAUUUAAAUGCUAUUUCCAAGAUUAAAACUGUGAUUCUAUUCCAGCAGAAUAGGAAUAUCAAUUCAAACCAGAUUUUAAAGUGCUUUUAUGUAGUUUAAACACACUUAAAAGUAUUUUAACUUUGCUCAAACAUAAAAUUUUGUAGAUCUGAAUGGUGCUUAUUAGGAAUGGUGCUUUAAUGCAGUUGAGAGUGUAAAAGGCAUUAGAAUCCUAACAGGAAAGUUACAUCUGUGCAAGUACCUGAAAAGAGCCGAGAGGUUCUUUAAGAGAAGGCUCCGGUAUUUCCACGUGACCUGCCAAAGGGAAGGAGCCCUGGUAUGCUGCCAAAUUCCAGGAGAGCUGAGCAGUGAUUAGAGUUUAACUUCGGCAUCAGACAGGAGGCUUUUUUCUCCUUGAAAUUCUCAAUGUAAAAAGUGCUGAAGCUUUUUCUUAGCUUUUCAGUUGGGGAAAAGAAAAAAAGCCAAGCCCCACCCUCAAAAGCUAAUAAAGAACUUGCUUCAGGAAAACAUCUGGUAGCUUUAAGUGCCUCGGUGCAUGGAAUUGUGCAUUUUGCCAGUGUGGGAGCGUGGUGUGCACAGUGGUUCUGAAGCCAUGAGCAGCAUGGGAGGUGGGCAAAUCAUUUUGCCAAAUCAGAAGUAGGAAUUGAUACAAGAAGAAGAAACUGCAAGUUCUGGCACAGACUUUAAGCAGAAGGAAAACUGUCUGGGAUGGUGGCGAGUUGUGAGGUCAGUUCUCUAUAGUGCUGCUGAACAGUGUGACAAUCCCAUGUCACCACAUCCUUCCACAGCUGGGCAUGCAGCCUCCCAGCAGGACACCACCGGGAAAGGCACUCGGGAACAGUGAGGACACCUGGAUUCCACAGCUGGGAGUCAAAACCAGUCCUACCAGCUGAGGAAAGGGGUCAAAGCACAGCCCUGCCAGCUGAGGAGAGUUCAGGGAGAAGCAGAGAGAACAGAAAGAAGCUGAGAUGAAGGGCAGCCUCUAAGAGCUUCUUGCAAGCUCCACUGGCUGAGAGCACCGUGCCCAUUUGGCCAGGGUCUCUUGGGCAUGCACCACAGCACAGCAGGGGACUCCUGGGCUUUUCAUCUGGUUCAAACAGUGCACCUUCAGUAGCCAGAAGUGGUAGUGACUCUUACUCCUCUCCUCAGCUACAACAUUGCCCUGUGCACUUUCACCACCUCCAGCCCUGAGGCCUUGGAAAACAAAGAGAGCAGCCCUGGAGCCCCCCAGGCUUCAGCCACUGGGGACAGUGCCCAGCCCCAGGAGUGCCACCAGCUCUCACAGCUGGGAGCAGAGGCAGCAGCUGCUGAAGUCCCCACAGGACCCUGCCAAGGAUUAAGGGGACAGGUAAAGUGUCACUGCUGAAACUUCACCAUCACUGUCAGGAAACAGUGUUUCCCUUUUAAAAACAAAUGAAAAAUUAAAAAAAAGCCCACCCCCCCAGAAACAAAACCAAGAAAGGCAAUGCUGCCAAAUGGCUCAGUCAGACCCUUACCUUGCAGACAGGAACACAACUUCGUGUGCUUUUACUUUUAACAAUGAGCCAUUCACAGAACCUUUUUUUUUUUUUUUUUAAACUCCAAGAUUAGGGACUGACAUCUCAUUCUGUAUCAUCUACUGGGCCAGUUUGGUAGUGAAUGAAGAAGUCAUGUGCUCCUUUCACCUCCAAAAACUUCUAAGGGUAUCCACAAUCUUCAGGUGCCAGAGAGGGAUUACCAUGCAGCCACAGGGCAGCAGAAAUUCUACACAGCAGAAGGUGAAAUGAAUUUCUAUAAAAAAGAGAAGCAAAAUGCCAGAUUCUUAAGAAAAGUGCCAGCAGACCUUUAAUGGUGCUGGGAACCAGCCAAGACUGUGAGUUAUAUUUCUUUUGAAAGAAUCCUAUAUAAUGAAGCACAGGGAAAAAAUAUGCUGAGAGACUGACAGCAGUGUUUAUUUUAUUCAUGGCACUACAUUUAUCCAGGGAACUGAGGGGAAAAAAAGCCCUGUACUGAGGUGGUGGUCUUCCAAUAACACCAUAAAACCAUACAGACCUAGAGCAGAAGGCCAGAAAACUCAUGUUCCCUCUGCAUGGACAUGGGGAUGCUGCCCCUGCACCAUCAGUAGUUUUAUAGCAAGUGAUGGAGCACGCAGGGUACAGCAGACUUUGGAGGGAAAGAGCCAGGGUUUAUUUUUUGAGGAGAUGGGAAGCUGAAGGGAAGGAUGAAAAAAUUGUAUAAACCAUGUUUUAUAAGAAAAGUUUUAAAGGUCCCUUAGCAGGCUUAAAAAAAAGAUGAAGUACACUCACUACAUUCUUUCUUUCCAUGGACGGAAUGGGCCAGUGAAAACAACUGACCUCAACUGUUUGAAUCCUGUGUGUGUUGUUAUGCAACAACCCAGUCCCCUGCACUUCUCCUGGGGAACUGCACAUGGUAGAGAAGUUCAUUCUUUAAUUACCCUCCUGAAUUUGUUUUACUUACAGCUAACCUGCAGCUGAUUGCUAACAUCAGCAACCGUAACAGAGGUUCAAAGAAUAUUCCCUUUUGCAACAGCACCUAAUUUCUGCAUAUGAUGGAACUCUGUAUUCAGCUCAUCUGGCUCAUUCUUCACAGAGUAUUUCUUUGGUUACAUGGGUUUUCUACACGGAAGGGAAGUUUUGGCUUUUUUGCUUUUUUUCAACAGGAAAAAUAAUUUCAAGUCUUCCAUCACUGGCUAUAAACCCAAGGCAGGCAUAUGGCCCAGCUUUCUACAGCCAUACACAGAGGAACUAAUAAAUCCUGAUUCCUUGCAGGCUUGUCUUCUCUUCCCACCUUCCCCAUCUCACCCCUCCCACUGAGGCCACUGCCCCAGCCCCCUCUCCAGGGUCCCCUUGCACAGGGAGCAGCUCAGCUCCUAUUUCUGUCCUCCAACUACUGCUCGAGAGAAGGAAGCCAGCACUGCACCAGGUUCCGUGUGUGCAGACCACAGAUCUUUCUUUGGCUGGGCUUGCCUAGGAACCAGCCAAACUUCCUUGGCAGUCCCUGCCUAAAGCAGAGGAAAUCUUUGGAUUUAUCAUCAUCACCAAGCCCUUAAUUUUCAUGCAACUGGGAUUAAGUCAGCUGUCUGUGAGAUCUUUCUUGUCACUGAAACUGGCCAAAAGAUUUAAGUUAUUUUUGGGGAGGGGGUAGAACAGGACAGAGUACAAAUGCAAAAGCAGUGGAAACUAUGCUAAAAUAUUUAAAAUAUGACAGCAUUCUCUUAAUAGUCAUGUUGUACUUCUGUUCAGCUGAAAGGUGACUUGGGAGAGAUAUUGACAGGAUUUUGCUGUUUUAAGUAUUUCAGAUCCUGCCAGUUUCUCUGGCAGUUUCUCAGCAUUGAGAGAUACUGGUUAAAACAUCCUGAUUCAGCCAGUUAAGCACAGCUAAUUAUAGUCACCUAUUGACAAUCCAGUGUUGUCCUGGGGCAUGUGUGCUCUUCCCAGGAAAACCUGGGAGUAACAAUUCAGGUUCACAGCAUAAACAAAUACCAGUAUUAAUUCAGUAGCCCCCAUGUCUUGCACAAAUCAAAGGCUGAUAUUCCACUGCCUGUUUCCAAACCAGCCCAUUACUACAGGAGCUCCCAACUCUUACCAAAGCUGGAGCCCAGCUGUGGAGGUCAGGCUCCAUCGCUGACCUCCACAACCGAGCGAGAAAGAGCCACUUGUGGGUUUGGUUGGAAGUGCCUAGAGCUCUCCCUCCAGGACUUCUGCCUUUGUUUUGCAUUCAAGAGAUUUUCUGUGCAGUCAGUGACUGGUCUUUAAUUAAAUGGAAUUCUCUCCUAUGUCUCCCUCUCUGCUUGUAGGCACAGUAACUGAACUCUUUCAGAACAGCAGAAAAUUUGGAAAAUCUUCACUUUCUAAUAAUCUCCAGAGCAUCAUCAGUAUACCAAGUCCUUAGUGGGUAAUCAUUUUCCUCUGGAAAAGAGAGGUUUUAAUUUGGUGCCCCCAGGGCACAGCACUGUCCUGCAGUCCCUCUCAUUGAGGCCAUGGAUAACACACCACUGUGUGCUGUCUGUGUGUGAUCUGAUCUCAGCAGCCCUCUCCAUCCAUCCAUCCAUCCAUCCAUCCAUCCAUCCAUCCAUCCAUCCAUCCAUCCAUCCAUCCAUCCAUCCAUCAUUUCUCUGUGGUCUCACUCCCUCAGUUGUCAAUUAAGUCCAUUCCACUCCCUCUCUCAAAGGCAAGUCCUUGGCUUUUGGAAUGCUGUCAGACUGGUCAGGUGAGUGCCAGAGAUCUACAAUAGUAUUUUCCUUCCCUCAGCUUCAGUAUUUCACUGCACAUGCUUGCAGUAGUUGCAGCUCCAUUUCUGGCAUAUUUUGAGGGUUUUGGGCAAGCCCAAGUUAAAGAUGACAUUUUAAUGUCAUAAAGCUACACUACAUAUUACAUACAAAACAUUUGUACUGAAAACUCAAAGGCAACUUGUCCAAGCUAAUUCAGCUUUCUUGUGGACAAAUACAGCUGUUGGCUUUCAGUGCAGGACAGUGCUGUUUCAGCUUUUGUUCUGAAAGAAACAAACCAGUCAAACCAGUGUCAAUUUAUUCAACUCGAAAUUAGAAAGGAGAACAGCUUAACUCAUAUUAACAAAAUUCAUAGAAUUUAAUGAAAUAAUUUUUUUGGGGGAAAAAAAUAUCAGCAGCUCACUCUCUUCCUUGAAGAUACUUGGAUGACAAAAAUAAUAUGCCAAACAUAUCUUUGGAAUUACUGAGGGAAGCUGACAAGCAGUGCCUUUGCCUUUGGCCAGUGCCUUUGUAGGCAUAUCCAGCAUUACCUUCAGGCACCAAUCCCACGCCUGCCACCUCCUGGGCUUGGAAUAUUUGAGCUCCAGAAACAUUCAGCAAAAUGUUAUUGUAAUUAAGCGUCAGGGAAAGGGGAGUGAGGGAUCUUUUCCUUCAGAUAUAAUGUUCUACUCAUAGUGUUGGUUCUGCUGCACAAAGUCUGCUACCAAAGGCAACUGAGAAAAUUAAUUGCUUCCCUUGGUUCUGACAUCAUCUCACAGACCUCCUGCAUGUAAUUACUAAUGUGCUUCCCAUAAAGCCCUCCAGGAACUCGCAGCCU
This is a long non-coding RNA of Passer domesticus (house sparrow), 6805 nucleotides long. RefSeq lists it as uncharacterized. Lineage: Eukaryota; Metazoa; Chordata; Aves; Passeriformes; Passeridae. The transcript has 2 exons. The record is from RefSeq and is a predicted model, not a curated record.